RNAcentral lists this transfer RNA (75 nucleotides) under Planctomycetota bacterium. It matches the Rfam family "tRNA". From Rfam's summary of the family: Transfer RNA (tRNA) molecules are approximately 80 nucleotides in length. Their secondary structure includes four short double-helical elements and three loops (D, anti-codon, and T loops). The record is from Rfam by way of RNAcentral. Lineage: Bacteria; Pseudomonadati; Planctomycetota.
GGCCCCAUCGUCUAGCCAGGUCCAGGACACCGGGUUUUCAACCCGGCAACACCGGUUCAAAUCCGGUUGGGGCUA